CAUGCAGUCGAGCGGGGUGAUGGUGCUUGCACUAUCACCUAGCGGCGGACGGGUGAGUAAUGCUUAGGAAUCUGCCUAUUAGUGGGGGACAACAUUUCGAAAGGAAUGCUAAUACCGCAUACGUCCUACGGGAGAAAGCAGGGGAUCUUCGGACCUUGCGCUAAUAGAUGAGCCUAAGUCGGAUUAGCUAGUUGGUGGGGUAAAGGCCUACCAAGGCGACGAUCUGUAGCGGGUCUGAGAGGAUGAUCCGCCACACUGGGACUGAGACACGGCCCAGACUCCUACGGGAGGCAGCAGUGGGGAAUAUUGGACAAUGGGCGCAAGCCUGAUCCAGCCAUGCCGCGUGUGUGAAGAAGGCCUUAUGGUUGUAAAGCACUUUAAGCGAGGAGGAGGCUACUUUAGAUAAUACCUAGAGAUAGUGGACGUUACUCGCAGAAUAAGCACCGGCUAACUCUGUGCCAGCAGCCGCGGUAAUACAGAGGGUGCAAGCGUUAAUCGGAUUUACUGGGCGUAAAGCGCGCGUAGGCGGCUAAUUAAGUCAAAUGUGAAAUCCCCGAGCUUAACUUGGGAAUUGCAUUCGAUACUGGUUAGCUAGAGUGUGGGAGAGGAUGGUAGAAUUCCAGGUGUAGCGGUGAAAUGCGUAGAGAUCUGGAGGAAUACCGAUGGCGAAGGCAGCCAUCUGGCCUAACACUGACGCUGAGGUGCGAAAGCAUGGGGAGCAAACAGGAUUAGAUACCCUGGUAGUCCAUGCCGUAAACGAUGUCUACUAGCCGUUGGGGCCUUUGAGGCUUUAGUGGCGCAGCUAACGCGAUAAGUAGACCGCCUGGGGAGUACGGUCGCAAGACUAAAACUCAAAUGAAUUGACGGGGGCCCGCACAAGCGGUGGAGCAUGUGGUUUAAUUCGAUGCAACGCGAAGAACCUUACCUGGCCUUGACAUAGUAAGAACUUUCCAGAGAUGGAUUGGUGCCUUCGGGAACUUACAUACAGGUGCUGCAUGGCUGUCGUCAGCUCGUGUCGUGAGAUGUUGGGUUAAGUCCCGCAACGAGCGCAACCCUUUUCCUUAUUUGCCAGCGAGUAAUGUCGGGAACUUUAAGGAUACUGCCAGUGACAAACUGGAGGAAGGGCGGGACGANUUCAGUCAUCAGGGCCUUACGGCCGGGCUAC
Molecule: ribosomal RNA, 1165 nt
Filed under: Acinetobacter lactucae
Lineage: Bacteria; Pseudomonadati; Pseudomonadota; Gammaproteobacteria; Moraxellales; Moraxellaceae
Description: bacterial SSU rRNA
Rfam family: Bacterial small subunit ribosomal RNA
Source: RNAcentral